This 63-nucleotide transfer RNA is filed under the name Xenogryllus marmoratus. RNAcentral describes it as "tRNA-His". Lineage: Eukaryota; Metazoa; Arthropoda; Insecta; Orthoptera; Gryllidae. The record is from RNAcentral.
GCUUUAUUGGUUAUUUUAAUAGUUAUUUGUGAUGUAACCGGGGAUACUUUAGUUUAUAGAGCU